RNAcentral lists this unclassified non-coding RNA (3167 nucleotides) under Schistocerca americana (American grasshopper). RNAcentral describes it as "uncharacterized LOC124605492, transcript variant X2". Lineage: Eukaryota; Metazoa; Arthropoda; Insecta; Orthoptera; Acrididae. The record is from RNAcentral.
AUGCCUUUGCUAACAGUACAUUGCCUGCAGCGCUUCCCAGGGAGUCAUGACUACAUCGGUUGGACAGUUGACGACUGUAAAACCGUCGCCUUGUCAGUUUUAGGAUGCUGCGGUGGUCUAGAACUGACUGCCUACAUAUCACAAGGUGGACUACAUGGCCACAUAACUUUUCGGAGGUAUCAUGCAGACAACAGAAAAAUUCAUGUCCACACAUCACUCCAGACUGUCAAUGAAGUUUCCAAAUGGUCUUGGAGAAUACAUAAAUUUCCAGUUUAUUAUAGUACACUACAGGAUCGGUGCAAUGAUGAGAAACUUGGGCCAGUGUUGUUGAAUCUAGAUGACACUAUUGGACUUCUCGAAUUUCCUGUGAAAAACACCAGUGAUUUACUGAUACCCACAGAUUUGAUAUCAUUAACUGGUGAAAAAGGCUUAUGGGGCCGAUCUCUGUUGAUCUUUGAAGAGGGCUAUAGAAUCCAUGCUGCUUGUGGUACAAUUAGUGUUUCAGAUCAAACAGAUGAAAAACUGGCUGAAGCAAAAUUCUAUUCUCCAGUUGCUGGGUCUGUUUUCAUGCGGUGGAUUGGAAGCCUACAUUCUGAUUCCAUAGAUGCACUCAUUCACACCAAUCUUUACUGGGUAACUAAAGAGAAAGGAAGUCCAGAAAAAGAUACAAAACAUCACUGGAAGAUCUAUGCAACAGAUAUUUUAGAUGCAGAAGCAGGAAAGACAAGAAGCAACUGCAACUUUCUUCAGUUUGUGUUUAAUCCUGCAUCUGCAAAAGAAGGACAAACUGUUGGUGACAUUGAUAAACGGUUGGGUAAAGUGCAGAUUUCAGGCAGUCCAGACUCCAAUGUUAUAAACACCUACCAUGACUCAGAGUUAACAUCUGUACCAUUUGACUUAACAACAGGGCAACGGAGCCUGUACAUUGUAAUAUUUGACUCAAAACACCCAGACAGUUUUUUAGCAUGUGCAAGAAUUAGGCAAAUAACUCCUUACACACAGAAGGUUAUCAUGCAGUCUGAAGGAGUAUCUGGAGAAGUGACAUUCAGCCAGCGCUCACCAUUUGACCCGACAUGGCUACAUUUUAAUUUAUCAUCAUACAAUGAUAAAUUUCUUGGGAGGCCUUUCCAUCUGACAAAGUACAGGAUACAUGAACUGCCACCUCCAUCCUUUUUUGCUGAAAAAAGUGGCAAUAGAUGUUUUCAAACAGGCAAUGUGUACAAUCCGACUGAUAUCAAUCCAGAUGAUGGUUCUGCAAGCCAGGAUACAUAUGGUGUUGGAGAUCUUAGUGGAAAACAUAAUAUGUGGCGUGAAGAACAAACCUUUUCUGAUUUGAAUGGCAGGUACUGGGAUAUUUAUCUACCACUUCAAGGUCCAUACAGUGUUGCCCACAGAUCCUUAGUGCUUUACAAGGACACUAAAAAUGAGAGCAAUCCUAAUGAAAUAAUUUCAUUGCCAUGGAUAUGUGGGACACUCUCCCAUUACCAGGAGGGAAAGAACAAAUGGAAAGAGCCAAUGUUUACUGCUGCAGUUAUCUACAGGUAUCCAAUUGUAGGUCGUAUUGUCUUCCGUCAGCCAAAAGACAAACCUUGGGCUGAUACUACAGUGAUAGUGGAAUAUUUAAUACAUGCAGAUGGAACAUCACAAAAUAAUACUGAGGAACAUCGCUGGAUGGUGCAUGAUUUGCCACCUGGAAAAGAUUUCUAUAACUGGACUGGUCGCUGCUUGAGUGCUGGUCACGUAUACAAUCCAUUUGAGGUGAAUCUUCAAUCAAAAAAUUCUGAAUCACCAUGCACAUUAGAGAAAUCUGGCUAUUGUCGAGUAGGUGAACUAUCAAUACGUCAUGGCACACUAAGCAUUGCUGGACGCAAAUCUGAAAGUAAUAAAUUAACAUGCCGUCUGUAUACUGACACUCAUCUUCCUCUUUCUGGACCUGGAAGUAUACUUGGAAGGUCUCUAGUAAUUUAUGAUGACCAUGGGCCAAAAGCUAGAGGAGAACGUCUUGCAUGUUCACCGAUAACAGCAGUUUACAGGCGCAAAGCUGUUGUGAAAGAUUGGUUUGGCAAUGGUUUGUUGCCAUCUAUAAAAGGAAAACUAGAAUACUUCCAGCAAACUGAGUAUGAUAUCACCGACAUUGAGGCAAAUAUUGAAGGACUUGAAGACACAAAUGGUUUUCAUAUUCAUGUUGUACCUGUUGAUCCAAGUCUAGAAUUUCCAUGUGAAGCUUCAUCUUUGUAUGAUUACUAUAAUCCAUACAAUGUAAGUCUUCAUCUCUCUCCUGCACCUGCAACUGGAACAACAGACCAGUACCAGAUGGGAGAUUUAAGUGGAAAAUUUGGAACACUGGAUGGAUUAACAAGUCUCAACUCAGCGUUCAAUGACACACAUCUCCCACUCUUUGGUCCAUACAGUAUCAUAGGAAGAUCAGUUGUUAUCCAUAAAAAGAACAAAAACCACAGGUGGGCAUGUUCAUCAAUUGAACGUGGCUAUUCCCCUUCAGAAGCUCGAGAACUAAGAGCCAUUGCAUCAUUUCACCAUCCCUUGGGAUUUGCAUAUGGUUAUAUCAGAAUGACCCAACUGAUAUAUAAUGAUGGCAGCAAAAGUGACACAGUGAUCGAGGUGAAUCUGAGACAUCCUGGAAAAAAUGAUAGGAAUGUUACAAGGAAUCACAACUGGGCAAUAUAUGUAAACCCUGUGGGUGUGGAUGCUUCGGUUAAAGUUCUUAACACUAGAUGUGUAGCGGGAGGAUAUAUGUGGAAUCCAUAUUAUACCCAGCUUGCCGAUCCUUUGAAUGAAGAGCUGUACCGUCAAGAGUGUGGUCCUGACAACCCAUUACGUUGCUAUGUAGGUGAUAUUUCAGGACGCUUGAGUACAAUAGAUUUAGGCGAUAAAAGAAAAGUUUUUUCUGAUGUCAACUUUCCACUAGAAUUCUUUUGCGACUGCAGCUGACGAACGACAUGCUAGUGUGGUGAGACUGUGUAAACUCCACUGUGUUUUGGCAAAAGAAGCAAAUUUUAACAUGGCAACCACAGAAAUGUAAGGUGAUGUAUCAGCCAUAGGAAGAUCAAUUGUAAUUAUGAACAAGGAUCGUGGCUCAGAAAGAUUUGCAUGUGCAAAUAUAGAACCAGAUAAGGACAUCAUAAAAUAUGCCAACAUACAAAAACCAC